UUUGCAAAUGGAUCAGGAGGUAGCCAGGACACAGCUCAGCUCACUUGUGCCCAGACAGAGAAAGAGUUAAGCUGCUGACCCUGAAGGCAAGGGAGAGCCGGCUGUGCAGCUCUGUGUGUGGGAGCUGCUGGACUAAGCAACCGAGACAGGGCAGACCGU
Molecule: long non-coding RNA, 159 nt
Organism: Sapajus apella (tufted capuchin)
Lineage: Eukaryota; Metazoa; Chordata; Mammalia; Primates; Cebidae
Exons: 3
Source: RefSeq, a predicted model, not a curated record